AAUCAACGCUGGCGGCGUGCCUAACACAUGCAAGUCGAACGCGGAAGGGGCUUCGGCCCUGAGUAGAGUGGCGUCCGGGUGAGUAACGCGUGGGUAAUCUACCUUCGGGUGGGGAAGUAACCAGUCGAAAGAUUGGCUAAUACCGCAUAAAGACAACCGUUUCCCUAUUGAAGUGGUUGUUUAAAGGAGCAAUCCGCCUGAAGAGGAGCCUGCGUCUGAUUAGCUAGUUGGCGGGGUAC
RNAcentral lists this ribosomal RNA (239 nucleotides) under uncultured bacterium. RNAcentral's name for it is "partial 16S ribosomal RNA". It matches the Rfam family "Bacterial small subunit ribosomal RNA", at positions 32 to 260 of the family's 1533-position model. The record is from RNAcentral.